This 432-nucleotide ribosomal RNA is filed under the name uncultured bacterium. RNAcentral's name for it is "partial 16S ribosomal RNA". The record is from RNAcentral.
GAAUCUAGAUUUUAGUUAGAACAUAAGAAAAAAGAUAUCGCUGGCGGGGCGGGUAGGGUUUGUUCCUAAAAUAAAUUAGGAAUAGUACCGGUCUUUUCCCGGAGCGUGCGGUGCACUUGUUGUUGCUCCAUUCCUUUUAAUGACCCGAAUAAAGCUUGUUGUACCGCGGUCUGUGCCGAUUUCGGAUGAGAUUGCAAUAACGAUGAAAAUCGAUAUGAGAUAGGUCUGCAUCUGAAACCAGGGGGGGAGGAAAGGAACAAAAGGGGACUUUCCUAUCGUUUUGUGAGAGGAGCGGCCCUUGAACUCCACUCGUCCUAUUUUACAGGAGGGGGGGUGGGGAUUUUGUGUAUUGGUGGAAACCUGACGACGACCCUGUGAGUUAAUUGUUUUCGUAUAUUAACUUAAUGAUUGUGAAUGUGGAUGGUAUUUGUA